RNAcentral lists this ribosomal RNA (564 nucleotides) under Leptobrachella bijie. RNAcentral's name for it is "partial large subunit ribosomal RNA". It matches the Rfam family "Bacterial large subunit ribosomal RNA", at positions 1808 to 2608 of the family's 2925-position model. The record is from RNAcentral. Lineage: Eukaryota; Metazoa; Chordata; Amphibia; Anura; Megophryidae.
CAAAAACAUCGCCUUUUGAACCUUAUAAAAGGUAACGCCUGCCCAGUGACUGCUCGUUAAACGGCCGCGGUACUCUGACCGUGCAAAGGUAGCGUAAUCACUUGUCUUUUAAAUAAAGACUAGUAUGAAUGGCAUCACGAGGACUAAUCUGUCUCCCUCCCCCAAUCAGUGAAACUGAUCCCCCCGUGCAGAAGCGGGGAUGACAUCAUAAGACGAGAAGACCCUGUGGAGCUUCAAAUCAAAAAUCAACUACUAUACCCUACCUCCUGAGGACAUACUUCCGUAGACUUGACUUAGAUUUUUAGCUGGGGCGGCUGUGGAAGAAAAAACAUCCUCCACGAAAUUCUACUCAAAGGGCUACCGCCCUAAGUAAUAAUAAAUUAAUUUAAUUGACCCAAUUUUUGAUCAACGAACCAAGUUACCCCAGGGAUAACAGCGCAAUCCACUUUUAGAGUCCUUAUCGACAAGUGGGCUUACGACCUCGAUGUUGGAUCAGGGCACCCAAGUGGUGCAGCCGCUACUAAAGGUUCGUUUGUUCAACGAUUAAAGCCCUACGUGAUCUGA